This 175-nucleotide unclassified non-coding RNA is filed under the name uncultured Cladophialophora. RNAcentral describes it as "sequence contains ITS2". The record is from RNAcentral. Lineage: Eukaryota; Fungi; Ascomycota; Eurotiomycetes; Chaetothyriales; Herpotrichiellaceae.
UCACCCCUCGGGCCCCGUGCUCGGUGUUGGAUGGCCGGUUCGGGCGACCGAACCCCUCCCAAAGACAAUGACGGCGGCCUGUGGUUCCCCCGGUACACUGAGCUUUUCACGAGGCACGUACCGGACGAGGGCGCCCAGGACCCGGUCCUCUCCUCUCAGCAGGAAAGUUUUCAAU